GGGGCCUUAGCUCAAUUGGGAGAGCGCCGCGCUGGCAGCGCGGAGGUUAGGAGUUCGAUCCUCCUAGGCUCCAUCA
This 76-nucleotide transfer RNA is filed under the name Acidobacteria bacterium 13_1_20CM_3_53_8. RNAcentral's name for it is "tRNA-Ala". It matches the Rfam family "tRNA". Rfam says of the family: Transfer RNA (tRNA) molecules are approximately 80 nucleotides in length. Their secondary structure includes four short double-helical elements and three loops (D, anti-codon, and T loops). Further hydrogen bonds mediate the characteristic L-shaped molecular structure. tRNAs have two regions of fundamental functional importance: the anti-codon, which is responsible for specific mRNA codon recognition, and the 3' end, to which the tRNAs corresponding amino acid is attached (by aminoacyl-tRNA synthetases). tRNAs cope with the degeneracy of the genetic code in two manners: having more than one tRNA (with a specific anti-codon) for a particular amino acid; and 'wobble' base-pairing, i.e. permitting non-standard base-pairing at the 3rd anti-codon position. Lineage: Bacteria; Pseudomonadati; Acidobacteriota. The record is from RNAcentral.